AAGGACAUGCAAACAGAACAGAGAGAUGCCAUAGGGGGAGAACAGACCAGACCCCAAAGUCCGUGCCGUAUGUGGAAAGGGGGCAGCUCUCCCUGAAUUCCAUCCUGAUGUGCCAACUAAGACCCGGAUGUCAGCCUCCUCCCUCUUGGAAGGAGAAAAAGUUUCUAGUUGUCUAUUAUGUCACCUUUAGUCAAUCAUACCUCUCCACACCCCCUAAGAUAGCUUGCCCGCUCCUCCCCCUCCUAAUCCCUUAUAAGCCCCCCACCUCCCCAACCGGGUGUGACUUCUCUGGCCUGUGACAAGAAGGCCACAGAACCUCACCCGGGGGUAUUUAAAUAAAUUACCUGGCCCUUUGUUGCCUCUCUUUGCCUGCUUAUUUCGGCUAGAAUUUAUCUUACAACUAUGAGCAGACACACUAGGACCCACAGUGGUUUCCAUCUGUGUUGAUGACAGCCACAUUGACUGUGCAUGGGGCAGUGGCAGUGGUGUUCUGGUAAGUGUUUAACAAUUUGCUUACUGGGAGAAAAAGCCCUGGUCUGUAACAUUUGCCAAUUUCUGUGGCAUCAAUAACCCUGUGGUCAAUUUUAAGCUAUCUAUAUAACAUCACUGAACAGAAGUUGGGAAGAGAUGCAGAGAAGCUCACCAUUAUAUAACAUUUCCAUUGUACAGAUACAAUCGGUAUAAAUAACCUCAAGAGCAUACAUAAUAGUAAAAUGUAGUAAAAUAAUUUGGAAGUGAUGACUUCUAAGAAUUAAUUGCCUCUUAAAAUAUCAUUUACGUACUUAUAUGUUUCCAUAAUUUAAUAUGUAAUAAUGACUGUGUUUGUCAACUGGCUCACAAACAUUCCUGAAAUGUUAAGAAUCAGCUCUAACAAGCCUACCCAAGCCGACUGCAGCCCACCGCAGGCCCAGGGACCUUCAAUAGCCGGGCGGUUACAGAGGACUACAUUUCCCAUAAGCCUCCUCUCCCAGACAAGCCCUCUGCUUCCGAAAGCUGUUACCCCGGAGAUGGGCUAACAGAUCCGUCUGGCUGUCCUCAGAGACCGCCAGAGACGCAACAGAAUGGAGGUCCUGAAGGAGAAAGUGGAGGAGGAGGAGGAGGCCGAGCGGGAGGAGGCGGCUGAGCGGGCAGAGAAGGGCGAGAAAAUGAUGAGGCCAUCGGAGGUGCAGAAGGAGGAAAUCAUGACACAGGAGACGAUCAGAGACCUGGAGAAGAAGCUGUCGGAGAUUGAGAUCACCGUCCCAGAGACGCCCUCGAUCAUUACCAAGGACACUAUUGACAUCUCCAAGCUGCCCCUUGCCUACCGAAGCAACACACCCAAGGAGGAACACCUGCUGCAGGUGGCAGACAGCUUCUCCCGCCAGUACAGCCACCUGUGCCCAGACCGUGUGCCCCUCUUCCUGCACCCCCUGAAUGAGUGCAACGUGCCUAAGUUCGUGAGCACAACCGUCCGGCCCACACUGAUGCCCUACCCUGAGCUCUACAACUGGGACAGCUGUGCCCAGUUUGUCUCAGACUCCCUCUCCAUGGUGCCUCUGCCUGACCCCCUCAAGCCGCCCUGCUACCUGUACUCCUCGACCACGGUGCUCAAGUGCCAGAAAGGGAACUGCUUCGACUUCAGCACACUGCUCUGCUCCAUGCUCAUCGGCGCUGGCUACGACGCCUAUUGCGUCAACGGCUACGGCUCCCUGGACCUGUGCCACAUGGACCUGACUCGGGAGGUGUGCCCGCUCACCAUGAAGCCCAAGGAGAAGGUCCAGGAGGAGAAAAAGUCACCACCCAAGAAGUACACCGUCAAACCCCCCAGGGACCUGAGCAGCAGGUUUGAGCAGGAGCAGGAGAAGAAGAAGCAGGAAGAGAUCAAAGCCAAGGAGGAAAGGCGGCUGAGGGAGGAGGAGGAGCACCUCCUGGAGAUGGAGAAUGCAAAGGCCGACCCCCUGCAUGGCCUGCGGGUGCACUCCUGGGUCCUGGUGUUGUCGGGAAAGCGUGAGGUGCCUGAGAGCUUUUUCAUUGACCCGUUCACGGCGCGCAGCUACAGCACCCAGAACGACCACUUCCUGGGCAUUGAGAGUCUCUGGAACCACAAGAACUACUGGGUCAACAUGCAGGACUGUUGGAACUGCUGCAAGGACCUGAUCUUUGACCUGGGAGACCCUGUGAGGUGGGAGUACCUGCUCUUGGGGACGGAUAAGUCUCACCUGUCCAUGACUAAGGAAGAUGAUGAGGGGAUGAAUGAUGACGAUGAUGUAGAAAACCUGCAGGACAAGGAGGAUGAGGAUAAGAGCUUCGACAUGCCGCAGUCGUGGGUGGAGCAGAUUGAGAUCUCUCCAGAGGCGUUCGAGACCCGCUGCCCAAACGGUAAGAAGGUGAUACAGUACAAGAGGGCGAAGCUGGAGAAGUGGGCCCCAUACCUCAACAGGAAUGGCCUCAUGUGCCGCCUCACCACCUAUGAGGACUUGGAGUGUACCAAGGUUUUGGAGAUAAAGGAGUGGUACGAGAACCGGGAGGACAUGCUGCAGCUGAAGCACAUAAACAAGAGCACAGGCCUGAAUACUGACUACUUCAAGCCAGGCCACCCCCAGGCUCUGCGUGUACACUCAUACACAUCUGUGCAGCCUCAGACGGACCGGGUCAUGGAGUUUUACGAAACGGCCCGUGUAGAUGGCCUGAUAAAGCGGGAGGAGACGCCCAAGACGAUGACCGAGUACUAUCAAGGCAGGCCCGACUUCCUGUCCUACCGCCAUGUCAAUUUUGGGCCCAGGGUCAAGAAGUUGACUGUGAACAGUGCAGAGUCAAAUCCCCGGCCCAAGAAGUUGACUGUGAACAGUGCAGAGUCAAAUCCCCGGCCCGUGGUGAAAAUCACAGAGCGAUUCUUCCACAACCCCGAGAAGCCUGCGGAUGAGGAUGUGGCAGAGCGUGUGUUUCUCAUCCUGGAGGAGUGCAUCCAGCUGCGCUACCACUGCCGCGAGGACCACAUCACAGUCAACACGUGCGAGUUCCUGCCGUGCACUGAGGUGGACAGCAAGGGCAACAAGAUCAUGACGCCUGACAUGUGUGUCAGCUUUGAGGUGGAGCCCUUGGAGCACACCAAGAAGCUUCUCUACCAGUAUAAGGCCAUGAUACAUCUGAAGAACGAGGAGAAGUUGUCCAAACAUCAGGCCCGGGAGUCAGAGCUGGAGGUGCUGGAGAUCCUGAAGCUCCGAGAGGAAGAGGAGGAGGCACACACAUUGACCAUCUCCAUCUAUGACACCAAGCGCAACGAGAAGAGCAAGGAGUAUCGGGAGGCCAUGGAGCGUGUGAUGCAUGAGGAGCACUUGCGGCAGGUGGAAGCCCAACUGGACUACCUGGCACCAUUCCUGGCACAGCUCCCGCCAGGAGAGAAGCUGACACGCUGGCAGGCCGUGCGCCUCAAGGACGAGUGCCUCAGUGACUUCAAGCAGCGGCUCAUCGACAAGGCCAACCUCAUCCAGGCCCGUUUUGAAAAGGAGACCCAGGAGCUGCAGAAGCAGCAACAGUGGUACCAGGAGAACCAGAUGACCAUGACCGCUGAGGAUGAAGACUUGUACCUGAGUUACUGCUCUCAGGCCAUGUUUCGCAUCCGCAUCCUGGAGCAGAGGCUCAGUCGACACAAGGAGCUGGCCCCACUGAAGUAUCUGGCUCUGGAGGAAAAGCUCUAUAAGGACCCACGCCUUGUGGAACUCAUGAAAGUUUUUGCUUGAUGCCCCUCCUGGGGCCUCAGCCACAGCUGCCUGAGGGAAAACCUCCCGCACAGUGUUGCCCGUGCCCCCUACCCCCAGCUAAUGACCAUCCACUCAGGAUGUUGAGUCUUUGCAGUGCCUCUGCAGGUGAUCCCACAGCCACCUUCAAACAACUGGUUAGAUCUCAACGUGGCUAGGGCGGCCCAGCUCACCAAGAUAUGCCCUUUGGGAUAUGUGUAUUAUACUUCAAUAUGAAGUGUUUUAAAAUGCUGAUCAUGAAUCCAAUCAGGCUUUAACUUCCAUUCAACAAGAAAUUCCGGGGAAAAGGAAUAAGGUAAAUGACA
Manis pentadactyla (Chinese pangolin) is the source of this 4042-nucleotide RNA transcript. It is a transcript of the gene named dynein regulatory complex subunit 7, with no coding region annotated. The record is from RefSeq and is a predicted model, not a curated record. NCBI's taxonomy places the organism in Eukaryota, Metazoa, Chordata, Mammalia, Pholidota, Manidae. The transcript has 20 exons.